This 500-nucleotide ribosomal RNA is filed under the name uncultured bacterium. RNAcentral describes it as "partial 16S ribosomal RNA". It matches the Rfam family "Bacterial small subunit ribosomal RNA", at positions 30 to 523 of the family's 1533-position model. The record is from RNAcentral.
AUUGAACGCUGGCGGAAUGCUUUACACAUGCAAGUCGAACGGCAGCACGGACUUCGGUCUGGUGGCGAGUGGCGAACGGGUGAGUAAUGUAUCGGAACGUUCCCAGUCGUGGGGGAUAACGUAGUGAAAAUUACGCUAAUACCGCAUACGGUCUAUGGAUGAAAGCGGGGGAUCGCAAGACCUCGCGCGAUUGGAGCGGCCGAUACCAGAUUAGGUAGUUGGUGGGGUAAAGGCCCACCAAGCCAACGAUCUGUAGCUGGUCUGAGAGGACGACCAGCCACACUGGAACUGAGACACGGUCCAGACUCCUACGGGAGGCAGCAGUGGGGAAUUUUGGACAAUGGGCGAAAGCCUGAUCCAGCCAUUCCGCGUGCAGGAUGAAGGCCCUCGGGUUGUAAACUGCUUUUGUACAGAACGAAAAGGUUUCUACUAAUACUAGGAGCUCAUGACGGUACUGUAAGAAUAAGCACCGGCUAACUACGUGCCAGCAGCCGCCGCGG